CAAGCCCCCCUCCUUGCAGUGUGAAUUCAGUGGCCCAUUACUCUUCCGCCAACAGCGGGUAGUUGAAGAGUGGAUGGAGAACUUCAUCCUGUAUGAGGAACUUGGGGCAGGGAGAAGCUCUGUUGUCUAUAAAGGACGAAGGAAGGGCCAUCUCAGCUAUGUAGCCAUCAUCUGCGCGGACAAAGCCAAGAGACCUGAGAUUACUAACCAUGUACGUCUCAGCCAUGAUCUGGAUCAUCCAAACAUAGUAUGCUUCUAUGAGUGGUAUGAGACAAGUAACCACCUCUGGUUGGUAGUGGAGCUCUGCACAGGUGGUUCCCUGGAGUCUGUAAUUGGUCAUGAUGGAUGUCUGUCAGAAGAUGUGGUGAGGCGGUUUGGAUGGGACUUGGUCAAAGGACUGAAACACAUCCAUAAAUUAGGAAUCAUUUUCUCUGACUUGACCCCUGCUAAGAUCCUACUGGAUGGUAGUGGCAUUCUGAAGUUUGGUAACUUCUGUCGGUCCAAGGCAGAGGGAGAGACACUGGAUGAUUUCUUCACCUUGCUCUCUACAUGUGAGGAGGCGGGGGAACGAGAUAACAAGCAGAAUCUUGAUAACAUGAAGAAAAGAUUACAAGGUUCUCCAACUUACAGCGCUCCAGAAGUUUUGCAGGGAUCAGAAACCAAUAUGAGCUCUGAUCUCUGGGCUAUGGGUUGCAUACUUUACUACAUGUACACUGGUAAACCUCCGUUCUAUUCUGAUAGCUGCACUGAACUGACAGAGAUGAUUUUACAUCAGGAACCACCACCACCUAGACAGACCGUGUAUUCAGCCAGUCCUCCCAGUGAGGAUUUCCAGAAUCUUCUGAAAGGCUUGCUCAACAAAAACCCCGAUAAGAGGAUGAACUGGUCAGAGUUGCUGGACCACCCUUUCUGGACACAAGUGCUAAAGGGGGAAGAGGAUGCAGAUGAGGGAGAAGAGGAGAAUCAAGAAGAGGAUCGGGAGGGAAACAAUGGCUGUGAGGGGGUUGGUUCAGCUAGCUUGAGACACACAAGGAUCCCUGACCCUUUCCCUCCAGGACAGGCAGACGAGCUUGCCAACAGUCCCUCUGCAAUCACCCAGCCAGCCCAUAGGAUUUCUAAGAAACUAAUAUCAUCACAGACAACAACUGUAACAACUGACAGACGGACUGAUUGCCAACAAGCUGUCAGAAACACAACCUGUGGAUCCUUAAGGAAGGGAGGAGGAGGGGGGGAGGCAAAGAAAGAAUAUGACCCCAAGCUACCUGGGGCCCAACAGAUGUACCACACACUGCAGCCCAAUAAAUCAUUCACAAUAGAUAACCUAUCAGAGUUCAGGCCAAAGAAUGGAGUGGAUGAGGACAACACUGAGGCCAUUUUUCUGCUCAGCUCCUGUGCCAACUCAAGGAGGAGCUGCAGUAUCCCAGACUCUCCAAACCAGACCCCUGCACCUCAGGGCAAUACUGGUGUUAACAUUAAAUCCUGUGUGAAAGCUCUUCUCCAUACUGACUCUGAUCUGACUGUCACCCCAAUCAUGGACAACCCCAAGAUUCUUAAGAGUUCUCCUGUGCGAUUUGAUCCCAAAACCCUUUGUGUACCAGCAUAUUCAGUUGAGAAGCUGCACUCCCUGAGUGAUGAAGAGUGGACUGUCUUCCUCUUGCAGCUCCAUUCAUCCCUUGAAGAACAGAACCCCUCCGCUCCUCUCUCCUCCUCCUCCAUAGCCCCUCCUCCUCCCUCCACAGUGACUCGCUCCAGACUCAACCUGCUGUGCUACCUCUGCUGUGUGGUUGGACAUAAAGUUAUUGCUAACAGGCUGAUUAACUCAACCCUGCUUCCAGUAUUGACUCAGCAGUUACGACAAGCUCCUAACUGGGAUGUGCGGAGCAAGGUCCUCAGAGUGAUGGGUCUCCUGGCUCUGCAUUGUUCGGAACUCGGAGAGGACAGUCCUGUUUCUGAGGCAGUGUCCACACUAACAGACCUAUUGAGAGAGAACCUGAGAAAUAGUAAAAUAAAGCAGUUCUUGCUGCCACCACUCGGGGAGUUCCUCUACCUCAUCGCCUCUCAGGAGGAGAAGAGAGGCUCCCCAGAGGGAUUGUGGUUCGUUCCCGCUGCCGCCUACACUGGCUUAAUGAGGAGCCUGCGGGAAGGGGAUGAUUCCAUAGUUCAUCACAUGGCUGCAAAAGCCAUAGAGAACAUCUCCACCACUGUCUCUGGCCCCUCCCAUCACCUGGUUACCACAGAGAUAGGCUCCGCCCUGUGGUACCUGUUCACUCACUCCACAGUGGAGGCUGUCAGAGUCACUGCCAUCUCAUCUCUUUCUAGGUUAACCCGGGUGGUCCCAGCUGUCUUCUCGGCAGUGAUUGACACCUGUGGCCCUGCGGCCAUCUUGGAGGGCAUGGGCGGAGCAGGAGCCAGGGUCCAGCAGCACCUGCUCACUGCUAUGGCCACUGCCCUAUUCACCUCACGCACCCAAACGCACCGCGUCACACAGAGCACGGAUUUGGUGUUGCAAGUGCUGCGUUGUCUAGAGAGUCCAUCCACUGUAACAAGAGCAAAAGCAUUACUACUACUAAUUCUACUAAUACAGGACAACACACACACUCUGCUUUACUGCUGUCAACACAGACUUGUGAUGUACCUGGAAAGAGAUCUGCGCAAAGCAACUCCCCUCAGAGAGAAUCCCAGCCAAUCAGGAUACCUGUCUCAGUGUCUGGAUUUACUGAUUGUGAAUCUGAGUAGCACUGCACCACUGAUACUGGAGGAAGUCUUAUGUGCUUUACGAGGUGUGAUCGGGAGGAAACACCCAUCUACAGCUCAGAGCAGACAGCUUAAACACACUUUGCCAACCAUGUCUGUAGUGCUGGAACUCCUUUCAUCACAGGUCUUUAGAUCUCAAAUUGUAACUGAAGAGUUUCUAGCUCAAAUUGGAUUGCUUCUGAACUAUAUCGCAUCUAUAGAGUCCAAUGAAACAAAUCUUGCCAGUGCUUUGGGUGCAGCACAAUGUGAGGAAUUGAUUAGGACCUCUCUAUCCAUUGUGGAGGUCCUGAGUCAGCACCAUGCUCUCACCAUUCCACAUCAAGGUGUUGUUGUGGACACCAUUCUGCCUCCUCUGACAACACUGGCUUUUAGCAGAAAUGUGGAGUGGUCUGUGUUUGUUUUGAGGGUGCUGUCCGAACUCAGUCUUGUCCUGCUGGUCCAGGAGAGUGAUGUAACUGAGGAAGAUGAUGAGACAGAGGAAAAGAAAAAGAGAAGAGAGGAAGGAGGAAGUCCAGCAGAUGGAAGCGGCGAUGGAAGCUCCUGUAGUCAAAUCUUAGCUCUCAUCACCGAAUCUCUGCUUCCAAGGUAUGAGACUCUUCUUCGAGCAGCAGAACCUAUCCCACUCUACGCCCUCAAACUACUGGUAUCGAUGACUGAACACAGCAUGCAGAUCUGCAGGUUGAUCAAACAUAGUAGGAUCCUACCAUCCGUCUUUCAACUCAUUAUGGCUAACAGUAGUAAUGUUACCAGUGGGAUGGUCCAGAAUGCAGUCGCCUUGCUGUGUAAUCUUAGUGGAGAUGCAGUCUUGGACCUGGAUCCGCUAUACAAACAAGGUCUAAUAGAGGUGGUGGUGAGCACCCUCUCAGAGGCUGCACUAUUUCACCUGGAUGGAGAAGGGCAUGGGAGGAAGGUCAGCCAUCUUGUUUUACAAGCCCUUCUGGAGCUGCUUCACAACAUCUUAAAACAAACAUCUGUUGUUGUCCGCUCCGCACUGCAGAGCCAGAGGCUAUCUUGUCCAGCAGCAGCGAUGGAGGCAGCAGAGAAGCUGCUCCUGGAAAACCGACCCCUGAGCCAACUCAGCACACACCUCAUUCACACGCUGUCCACUGAAAACCAGGAGGUUUGGGAGGAGUCUAUUCAGUGUCUGUCCCUACUUGUCCAGCUGUAUGGAGGGGAGGGUUGUGACUGCCUGUCACCUUCCUGCUUGCAAAACUUUUCACACGUGCUGCACACACACAUGCACACUGGGACUCCCCGAAUCCAACGCACAACACUUAGGAUCAUCAAACGACUGCAAAUUUGUCCCCUUGUGCAAACUCCCUCAUUACCCUCUGUGCUAACAGCUACAGUAACAUCAAGGUGCAGACUACAGAGCGAUCCGAUUGGUUAGAAUGUACCGAAGGGGCGGGGCUACUGAGUCUACUGCAGGAUAUAACUACAUCCAACAGGUGUCAUGCCGAUGUGAUUCCACUUGCUGCUGAAAUCCUCCAAGAGAUCUCUGGAUCCUAAAAGCUUUUAAUCUCCAAACCUUAAGAAAACCUGAACCAUUUCAGAACUUUAAAGGUACUUGUGAUUGUUAGUCUGCCUCUCUGAAUAAUCAGCUAGAAGACUGUUAUUUCAAAAUUUUGUCAGUUUUGGAAUAAAAUGUCUUUAGACAUUAGUUAUUUA
Molecule: RNA transcript, 4422 nt
Organism: Micropterus salmoides (largemouth bass)
Lineage: Eukaryota; Metazoa; Chordata; Actinopteri; Centrarchiformes; Centrarchidae
Gene: ulk4
Gene name: unc-51 like kinase 4
Exons: 38
Source: RefSeq, a predicted model, not a curated record